UACGUAGGGUGCGAGCGUUAAUCGGAAUUACUGGGCGUAAAGCGUGCGCAGGCGGUUUUGUAAGACAGGCGUGAAAAUCCCCCGGGGCUUAACCUGGGAAUUGCGCUUGUGACUGCAAGGCUGGAGUGCGGGCAGAGGGGGAUGGAAUUCCCGCGUGUAGCAGUGAAAUGCGUAGAUAUGCGGAGGAACACCGAUGGCGAAGGCAAUCCCCUGGGCCUGCACUGACGCUCAU
Molecule: ribosomal RNA, 232 nt
Filed under: uncultured bacterium
Lineage: Bacteria
Description: partial 16S ribosomal RNA
Rfam family: Bacterial small subunit ribosomal RNA
Source: RNAcentral